Molecule: unclassified non-coding RNA, 148 nt
Organism: Macaca mulatta (Rhesus monkey)
Lineage: Eukaryota; Metazoa; Chordata; Mammalia; Primates; Cercopithecidae
Rfam family: Metazoan signal recognition particle RNA
About the family: The signal recognition particle (SRP) is a universally conserved ribonucleoprotein.
Source: Ensembl
GACAGGCAUGGUGAUGCAUGCCUGUAAUCCCAGCUACUCAGGAGUCUGAGGCAGAAGAAUCGCUUGAACCCGGGAGGCAGAGGCUGCAAUGAGCCGAGAUUGUACCACUGCACUCUAUCCUGGGCAACAGAGCGAGACUCUGUCUCAA